CCAAUGUCCCCCGUUUUGUUUAACAUCGUGGUGGAUAUGUUAGCAAUAUUGAUCGGAAGGGCUAAAGACCAUGGUCAAGUGGGUGGUUUAGUACCUCAUCUGGUGGAUGGAGGUGUAUCCAUUCUUCAAUACGCUGAUGAUACAAUCAUCUUCAUGGAGCAUGACUUGGCCAAGGCGAGAAAUAUGAAGUUGUUGUUAUGCCUCUUUGAACAAUUAUCGGGGUUAAAGAUUAAUUUUCAUAAGAGCGAAUUGUUCUGCUUUGGUAGGGCUAAAGACGAACAGGACUCUUAUAGGCAACUGUUUGGGUGCGAGUUGGGAAGUCUGCCCUUUUCCUACCUUGGCAUUCCGAUUCAUCAUCGUAGGCUAACAAACAGAGAGUGGAAGUGUAUCGAGGAUCGAAUUGAAAAGAAACUGAGCUGCUGGAAGGGUAAGCUCAUGUCAUAUGGAGGCCGGUUAGUUUUGAUAAACUCGGUACUCACGAGUAUGCCUAUGUUCCUCUUAUCGUUCUUUGAAGUUCCAGUGGGAGUGAGGAAAAGACUGGACUUCUAUCGAUCACGCUUCUUUUGGCAGGGUGAUGAGCUUAAAAGAAAAUACCGGCUUGCUAAGUGGGAUAUCAUCUGUCGACCCAAAGACCAAGGCGGGCUUGGCAUUGAGAAUCUUGAGGUUAAGAACAGAUGCCUUCUUAGUAAGUGGUUGUGGAAGCUCGCUAGCGGUUCGGAAGCUAUGUGGGCGCAAAUCAUUCGCAGCAAGUAUCUCCAGACUAGGACUUUGUCCCAGGUAACAGUUAGGCCGAUGGAUUCGCCUUUCUGGAAAGGGCUCAUGAAAGUCAAGCAAUUAAUGUUCAAUAGGACAAAAGUUGUCAUUGGCAAUGGGGCCAUUACACGUUUCUGGGAGGACGCUUGGCUGGGCGACUCACCCCUGGCCAUUCAGUAUCCGUCUUUAUAUCGUAUUGCUCAACGACGUGAGGUGCUCGUGGCAACGGUAUUUCAAUCUAUCCCCCUUAAUAUUCAGUUUAGACGGUCAUUAGCGGGCAAUCGUUGGGAGGUUUGGCUCCAGUUAGUUAGGAGACUAAUGGAGGUUCAACUUUCUGACCAACCGGAUAAAUUACGCUGGAAGUUGACUACGUCUGGGGUAUUUACAGUCAGGUCUAUGUAUACUGAUGUUAUUAAUACAAGCUCCAUUCCAACUUCCAAGAGUGUCUGGGAUGUCAAAGUACCUUUGAAAAUAAAAGUGUUUAUGUGGUUUGUUCAUAAACAAGUUAUUCUAACAAAGGACAACUUAAUAAAGCGUAAUUGGACAGGACCUACUAGGUGUAGUUUCUGUGAUCGAGAUGAGACAAUUAAACAUCUCUUUUUUGAUUGCCCGCUGGCCAAGGUUCUCUGGCAGACGGUCCACAUUGCUUUUAAUAUAACUCCACCGAAUACUGUUAAUGCUUUAUUUGGGAAUUGGCUAUAUGGGUUUGACUCUACAAUAGCAAGACAUAUUCGGGUUGGAGUCUGCGCUUUAAUAUGGACCAUCUGGCUGUGCAAAAAUGAUUUGGUUUUUAACAGAUCAUCACGAAUUCUUUUUUUGCAGGUUAUCUUCCGAGCUACGGCGCUGAUCUGUUCAUGGUCAUUA
This 1617-nucleotide ribosomal RNA is filed under the name Triticum aestivum (bread wheat). Its description in RNAcentral is "partial small subunit ribosomal RNA". The record is from RNAcentral. Lineage: Eukaryota; Viridiplantae; Streptophyta; Magnoliopsida; Poales; Poaceae.